GGGAAGAGCUCAAAUUUAUAAUCUGGCACCUUCGGUGUCCGAGUUGUAAUCUCUAGAAGUGUUUUCCGCGUUGGACCGCACACAAGUCUGUUGGAAUACAGCGGCAUAGUGGUGAAACCCCCGUAUAUGGUGCGGACGCCCAGCGCUUUGUGAUACACUUUCAAUGAGUCGAGUUGUUUGGGAAUGCAGCUCAAAUUGGGUGGUAAAUUCCAUCUAAAGCUAAAUAUUGGCGAGAGACCGAUAGCGAACAAGUACCGUGAGGGAAAGAUGAAAAGCACUUUGGAAAGAGAGUUAACAGUACGUGAAAUUGUUGGAAGGGAAACGCUUGAAGUCAGACUUGCUUGCCGGAGCUUGCUUCGGUUUGCAGGCCAGCAUCAGUUUUCCGGGGUGGAUAAUAACGGUUUGAAGGUAGCAGUCUCGGCUGUGUUAUAGCUUUCCGUUGGAUACAUCCUGGGGGACUGAGGAACGCAGCGUGCUUUUUGCGAAAGACUCGUCUUUUUCACGCUUAGGAUGCUGGUGGAAUGGCUUUAAACGACCCGUCUU
RNAcentral lists this ribosomal RNA (543 nucleotides) under Rhodotorula glutinis. RNAcentral describes it as "eukaryotic LSU rRNA". It matches the Rfam family "Eukaryotic large subunit ribosomal RNA", at positions 100 to 655 of the family's 3401-position model. The record is from RNAcentral. Lineage: Eukaryota; Fungi; Basidiomycota; Microbotryomycetes; Sporidiobolales; Sporidiobolaceae.